CGACACCGUGUGUUGUUGGGUAGGGGAGCGUUCUGUAAGCCUGUGAAGGUGUGCUGUGAGGCAUGCUGGAGGUAUCAGAAGUGCGAAUGCUGACAUAAGUAACGAUAAAGCGGGUGAAAAGCCCGCUCGCCGGAAGACCAAGGGUUCCUGUCCAACGUUAAUCGGGGCAGGGUGAGUCGACCCCUAAGGCGAGGCCGAAAGGCGUAGUCGAUGGGAAACGGGUUAAUAUUCCCGUACUUGGUGUUACUGCGAAGGGGGGACGGAGAAGGCUAUGUUGGCCGGGCGACGGUUGUCCCGGUUUAAGCGUGUAGGUAUGUGUUCCAGGUAAAUCCGGUUCACUUUAACACUGAGGCGUGACGACGAGGCACUACGGUGCUGAAGCAACAAAUGCCCUGCUUCCAGGAAAAGCCUCUAAGCAUCAGGUAACAUCAAAUCGUACCCCAAACCGACACAGGUGGUCAGGUAGAGAAUACCAAGGCGCUUGAGAGAACUCGGGUGAAGGAACUAGGCAAAAUGGUGCCGUAACUUCGGGAGAAGGCACGCUGACACGUAGGUGAAGUGAUUUACUCACGGAGCUGAAGUCAGCCGAAGAUACCAGCUGGCUGCAACUGUUUAUUAAAAACACAGCACUGUGCAAACACGAAAGUGGACGUAUACGGUGUGACGCCUGCCCGGUGCCGGAAGGUUAAUUGAUGGGGUCAGCGCAAGCGAAGCUCCUGAUCGAAGCCCCGGUAAACGGCGGCCGUAACUAUAACGGUCCUAAGGUAGCGAAAUUCCUUGUCGGGUAAGUUCCGACCUGCACGAAUGGCGUAAUGAUGGCCAGGCUGUCUCCACCCGAGACUCAGUGAAAUUGAACUCGCUGUGAAGAUGCAGUGUACCCGCGGCAAGACGGAAAGACCCCGUGAACCUUUACUAUAGCUUGACACUGAACAUUGAGCCUUGAUGUGUAGGAUAGGUGGGAGGCUUUGAAGUGUGGACGCCAGUCUGCAUGGAGCCGACCUUGAAAUACCACCCUUUAAUGUUUGAUGUUCUAACGUGGACCCGUGAUCCGGGUUGCGGACAGUGUCUGGUGGGUAGUUUGACUGGGGCGGUCUCCUCCUAAAGAGUAACGGAGGAGCACGAAGGUUGGCUAAUCCUGGUCGGACAUCAGGAGGUUAGUGCAAUGGCAUAAGCCAGCUUGACUGCGAGCGUGACGGCGCGAGCAGGUGCGAAAGCAGGUCAUAGUGAUCCGGUGGUUCUGAAUGGAAGGGCCAUCGCUCAACGGAUAAAAGGUACUCCGGGGAUAACAGGCUGAUACCGCCCAAGAGUUCAUAUCGACGGCGGUGUUUGGCACCUCGAUGUCGGCUCAUCACAUCCUGGGGCUGAAGUAGGUCCCAAGGGUAUGGCUGUUCGCCAUUUAAAGUGGUACGCGAGCUGGGUUUAGAACGUCGUGAGACAGUUCGGUCCCUAUCUGCCGUGGGCGCUGGAGAACUGAGGGGGGCUGCUCCUAGUACGAGAGGACCGGAGUGGACGCAUCACUGGUGUUCGGGUUGUCAUGCCAAUGGCACUGCCCGGUAGCUAAAUGCGGAAGAGAUAAGUGCUGAAAGCAUCUAAGCACGAAACUUGCCCCGAGAUGAGUUCUCCCUGAGACUUUAGGUCUCCUGAAGGAACGUUGAAGACGACGACGUUGAUAGGCCGGGUGUGUAAGCGCAGCGAUGCGUUGAGCUAACCGGUACUAAUGAACCGUGAGGCUUAACCUUACAACGCCGAAG
Molecule: ribosomal RNA, 1751 nt
Filed under: Salmonella enterica
Lineage: Bacteria; Pseudomonadati; Pseudomonadota; Gammaproteobacteria; Enterobacterales; Enterobacteriaceae
Also listed under: 2 other names
Description: partial 23S ribosomal RNA
Rfam family: Bacterial large subunit ribosomal RNA
Source: RNAcentral